AAAACAUAGAAACAAAAUAGAGACAUCAUUAGCAUGCUGCUGAUCCAACAAAGUAAAAUUAGUUUAACCCAAGCUAAUAAACAAGAAUGCACAUUUGAUCAGAUGCAACUACACUCACAAUUUAAGAGAUACAUUAUUCGAAUGCUUGGCGAAAGAGAUGCGUUACUCACCUGCUAGUGACAUCAUGCUCCUCCUCACCUGCUAGUGACAUCAGCAUCAUCUACACACCUGCUAGUGACACCAUGCUUCUCUUCACCUGCUAGUAACUGGUCUGCUCUGUGAUAAGCACAUUUUGCUAUCUUCUAAUUCUGAACACAUCAGAAAUCACCAACCCCUCCUGACAUAUCUUUCCAGUUUGGGCAAAAAAUUAAUGUAUUUGCCAAAGUAGAAUUCAACAACUUUAGCCGUGAUCUCUGUGAUCAGCUCAUCAUCUCUCCAUACCCUCUCCACAUGGAAGUCACCUCUUGUACUUGUCACAAGAUCACACCAGGUUAACUAAGCCAGUAACCAUCAGCUGACCGUGGAAUGCCAAUUGUGUGUUUCUUUCUUAGUUUUGCAUGGUCCCCAAUAAACUCAAUGUGGGAUGCCUCUCCGAUUUCUUUCACAUCAGGGCACUUAACCUCUACCAGGCCACAGAGAGGUUCUUCAUUUGGGUCCACCACUUUGCCAUCUGCACCAAGGUGUGGAGCAUCAGGGUGGAUGAUGAGACCAGAUGGAAGAACGUUAACGUCAAAGGUCUCCUCAUAGCGGUGAAGAACCUCUGGCUCAAGUUUUAAUCCUCUACACAUCGCUCUCUAGAGGCCCCGACAGAUGUUUACACACACUGUUUAAUGCAAGAUAUAAAUGCAUUUAACCUGCAAUUACAAAUGCAUAAUGUUUUGAUGUUUUAAUCCCAAAAUGUUGAAUACUGAUAUUUGCAAUGAUAAAUGAAAGUGCUUUAAGAGGUGAAAUUAAAAACACCAAUAUCUAGACAAUCAUGAAUUGUAACAUCACUUCCUUUAAUGUUUUUACUAUACAGUUGGUAUGGAAUUUGUUUAAAUGUUAAAUUUGUAAAAAAAAAAAAGUAUUACAUGUUUCAAUGAAAUGCUUAUACAAAAUAAAUAUGUAGUUAACUUUAAAGUAAAAUAAUUUAAUUUAGGGUCCUGAAAUACCCUGAACACUGCACAGAGGUUAAGAUGACCAUUGCUACAUAAAUAAAAUAAAAAUUGAAACUCAU
Molecule: long non-coding RNA, 1216 nt
Organism: Carassius gibelio (silver crucian carp)
Lineage: Eukaryota; Metazoa; Chordata; Actinopteri; Cypriniformes; Cyprinidae
Exons: 3
Source: RefSeq, a predicted model, not a curated record